CUAUCAGCGCCCGGGUAUUACGAGCUUAAGCUUAAAACCCAAAGGACUUGACGGUGUCCCACCCACCUAGAGGAGCCUGUUCUAUAAUCGAUACUCCCCGCUUCACCUUACCAUUUUUAGCCUCUCAGCCUGUAUACCUCCGUCGCAAGCUUACCAUGUGAACGCUCUUAGUAAGCCCAAAGGUUCUCUCACCAACACGUCAGGUCAAGGUGCAGCUCAUGAAAUGGGAAGCAAUGGGCUACAAUUUCUAAUGCAGAACAAACGAAAGACUACAUGAAACACAGUCAUGAAGGCGGAUUUAGUAGUAAAAAGAAAAUAGUGUGUUCUUUUUAACUAGGCACUGGGACGCGUACACACCGCCCGUCACCCUC
Molecule: ribosomal RNA, 371 nt
Filed under: Tomopterna delalandii
Lineage: Eukaryota; Metazoa; Chordata; Amphibia; Anura; Pyxicephalidae
Description: partial 12S ribosomal RNA
Rfam family: Bacterial small subunit ribosomal RNA
Source: RNAcentral